UACAUCGGUGACAGGUGGUGCAUGGUUGUCGUCAGCUCGUGUCGUGAGAUGUUGGGUUAAGUCCCGCAACGAGCGCAACCCCUAUUGUUAGUUGCCAUCAUUCAGUUGGGCACUCUAGCGAGACUGCCGGUAAUAAACCGGAGGAAGGUGGGAUGACGUCAAAUCAUCAUGCCCCUUAUGACCUGGGCUACACACGUGCUACAAUGGUUGGUACAACGAGUUGCGAGUCGGUGACGGCGAGCUAAUCUCUUAAAGCCAAUCUCAGUUCGGAUUGUAGGCUGCAACUCGCCUACCAUGAAGUCGGAAUCGCUAGUAAUCGCGGAUCAGCACGCCGCGGUGAAUACGUUCCCGGGCCUU
Molecule: ribosomal RNA, 357 nt
Filed under: uncultured Streptococcus sp.
Lineage: Bacteria; Bacillati; Bacillota; Bacilli; Lactobacillales; Streptococcaceae
Description: bacterial SSU rRNA
Rfam family: Bacterial small subunit ribosomal RNA
Source: RNAcentral